CAACUAGGAAAUAAGAGGCAGGAGUAGCUGAUUUCUGAAGUCACAUCUGCAUUUGCUGCGCUGCCGAGACAAGCAAUUAUACAGAAGCAAAGAUAAGUUGAACGUUGAUGUUUAUGGUUUUAGUAGCAAUCAGGAUACAAAAAUAUUUUAAUUGUGCAUUAUUCCCUCUUUUUAGCAUGGCCGGAUCAGACCUAUGGCAGCCAACGAAUCCAACACAGAAACGUGAGACAGGAAUAGCUGGUUUCUGGACCACAUGCAGGACUUUCUGAAUCGCCGAGGCAAGGAUUGAGCAGGAAAUAAAGAAUAGCAUGUCCAAUUCAAGCGUAUGGUAGCCACCAAAACCAGUUGAGAAAUGCAGGAGUAGCUGGUUUCUGGGCAGGAGUAGCAGUUUGGCCAGAAUCUAGCGUAUGGCGGCGUGUAUUUAUGCAUGUCUAAUUCAAGAGUAUGGCAGCCACCAAUUCCAAUUUAAGAAAUGCAGGAGUAGCUGGUUUUUGGGCAGGAGUAGCGGUUUGGCCAAAUC
Drosophila gunungcola (fruit fly) is the source of this 520-nucleotide long non-coding RNA. RefSeq lists it as uncharacterized. The record is from RefSeq and is a predicted model, not a curated record. The transcript is spliced from 3 exons. Lineage: Eukaryota; Metazoa; Arthropoda; Insecta; Diptera; Drosophilidae.